GAUGAACGCUGGCGGCGUGCCUAAUACAUGCAAGUCGAGCGAACGGACGAGAAGCUUGCUUCUCUGAUGUUAGCGGCGGACGGGUGAGUAAUACGUGGAUAACCUACCUAUAAGACUGGGAUAACUUCGGGAAACCGGAGCUAAUACCGGAUGAUAUUUUGAACCGCAUGGUUCAAAAGUGAAAGACGGUCUUUCUGUCACUUAUAGAUGGAUCCGCGCUGCAUUAGCUAGUUGGUAAGGUAACGGCUUACCAAGGCAACGAUGCAUAGCCGACCUGAGAGGGUGAUCGGCCACACUGGAACUGAGACACGGUCCAGACUCCUACGGGAGGCAGCAGUAGGGAAUCUUCCGCAAUGGGCGAAAGCCUGACGGAGCAACGCCGCGUGAGUGAUGAAGGUCUUCGGAUCGUAAAACUCUGUUAUUAGGGAAGAACAUAUGUGUAAGUAACUGUGCACAUCUUGACGGUACCUAAUCAGAAAGCCACGGCUAACUACGUG
This 497-nucleotide ribosomal RNA is filed under the name uncultured bacterium. RNAcentral describes it as "partial 16S ribosomal RNA". It matches the Rfam family "Bacterial small subunit ribosomal RNA", at positions 28 to 507 of the family's 1533-position model. The record is from RNAcentral.